Molecule: long non-coding RNA, 714 nt
Filed under: Nicotiana tabacum (common tobacco)
Lineage: Eukaryota; Viridiplantae; Streptophyta; Magnoliopsida; Solanales; Solanaceae
Description: long non-coding RNA (NTAB_LNC010057)
Source: RNAcentral
UUUUGAAAACCCUGAAAAUACUAUCUAAAAAAGUUCAGCUGCUGUGUACUUAGAAGCUGAUUCCUUUCCUUUGAUUUCUAUUUGUUGGUUUUUGGUUGCUGUUGUUCAAGGUACUGAUUUCACCUCUUAAAUAUACUUCCUGUUUUUGAAGUGAUGUAAUAGGGGAAUGAAAUAGCAUGAUCUCCUUUUGUUUGGUUCACUAAUGCUUGUAAUUCUUUCUUUAAGAGAUGUUUAAGUUUGAAGAUUUUCUGUUACCUUAUACUGAAUUUGAACCUUGGGUUGCUGAAAUAAUCUUUCUUCUUUCUUUCUGCCUACUUUACUAUUUAAUUUGCAAUGUACCAGUAAAUGAAAUUCCACAAGUACUGAAACCUUUAUUUUGUUUUUCUGCUGUUUUGUAUUAGAGUGGCAAUAAGGCAACUUCAAGGCCGGAAUUGAAUGUUGGCUUGUGAGAAACAACCCUACAGCUAAUUUCUUGCAAGUUGAAUAUGGUCUGAAGGGUUUUGUAAUAGCUGAAAGGCUCAGAAUUAGGAAAAAAUGUCAUUUUAUCUUAUCUUAAAAUUAUUCUUUCUUUAGACAUAUAGUUGUUUUUAGAAGCACAUUGUAAAUUUGUGGACUAUCAAGUAGUAAAUGGAUUGUUUUAAUUUCAAAUUUGAUUAUAUUUGAUUGUUAGUUUGGUUUAUGGAAGUAUGAUUUCUUUGCAUAGCCUAUCAUCGC